AAGAAAUGUUAAAGACGGAAGUCUUAAACUGAAAAGGGAGUUGCGGAUAAGUUGAAAGACUUUGAAGCGCUCUCAACACCUAUUGUGAACCAUGUUUAAGUCUUUGGCAAGAUGUCUUUAUUGACCUUGCCUUUGAUGUUAAAACUUGAUAUUGCCAAAGAUCAUCCUUUACAUUUACAAUGUAAA
This 186-nucleotide unclassified non-coding RNA is filed under the name soil metagenome. RNAcentral describes it as "partial internal transcribed spacer 1". The record is from RNAcentral.